UACGGAGGGGGCUAGCGUUGUUCGGAAUUACUGGGCGUAAAGCGCACGUAGGCGGCUUUGUAAGUUAGAGGUGAAAGCCCAGGGCUUAACCCUGGAAUUGCCUUUAAGACUGCAUCGCUAGAAUCGUGGAGAGGUGAGUGGAAUUCCGAGUGUGGAGGUGAAAUUCGUAGAUAUUCGGAAGAACACCGGUGGCGAAGGCGGCCCGCUGGGCAGGAAGGCUCGCAAGAGCCGGCUGACGCUGAGGCGCGACAGCGUGGGGAGCAAACAGG
This 269-nucleotide ribosomal RNA is filed under the name uncultured bacterium. RNAcentral describes it as "partial 16S ribosomal RNA". It matches the Rfam family "Bacterial small subunit ribosomal RNA", at positions 524 to 776 of the family's 1533-position model. The record is from RNAcentral.